GACGAACGCUGGCGGCGUGCCUAUACAUGCAGUCGAGCGAAGUUUUUCUGGUGCUUGCACUAGAAAAACUUAGCGGCGAACGGGUGAGUAACACGUAAAGAACCUGCCUCAUAGACUGGGACAACUAUUGGAAACGAUAGCUAAUACCGGAUAACAGCAUUAACUGCAUGGUUAAUGUUUGAAAGUUGGUUUUGCUAACACUAUGAGAUGGCUUUGCGGUGCAUUAGCUAGUUGGUGGGGUAAAGGCCUACCAAGGCGACGAUGCAUAGCCGACCUGAGAGGGUGAUCGGCCACACUGGGACUGAGACACGGCCCAGACUCCUACGGGAGGCAGCAGUAGGGAAUCUUCCGCAAUGGGCGAAAGCCUGACGGAGCAACGCCGCGUGAGUGAAGAAGGAUUUCGGUUCGUAAAGCUCUGUUGUUAGGGAAGAAUGAUUAUGUAGUAACUAUACAUAGUAGAGACGGUACCUAACCAGAAAGCCACGGCUAACUACGUGCCAGCAGCCGCGGUAAUACGUAGGUGGCAAGCGUUGUCCGGAAUUAUUGGGCGUAAAGCGCGCGCAGGUGGUUUAAUAAGUCUGAUGUGAAAGCCCACGGCUCAACCGUGGAGGGUCAUUGGAAACUGUUAAACUUGAGUGCAGGAGAGAAAAGUGGAAUUCCUAGUGUAGCGGUGAAAUGCGUAGAGAUUAGGAGGAACACCAGUGGCGAAGGCGGCUUUUUGGCCUGUAACUGACACUGAGGCGCGAAAGCGUGGGGAGCAAACAGG
RNAcentral lists this ribosomal RNA (766 nucleotides) under uncultured bacterium. RNAcentral describes it as "bacterial SSU rRNA". It matches the Rfam family "Bacterial small subunit ribosomal RNA", at positions 28 to 776 of the family's 1533-position model. The record is from RNAcentral.